Molecule: ribosomal RNA, 145 nt
Filed under: uncultured eukaryote
Lineage: Eukaryota
Description: partial small subunit ribosomal RNA
Rfam family: Bacterial small subunit ribosomal RNA
Source: RNAcentral
GUACACACCGCCCGUCACACCAUGGGAGUCAGUUGCCCCAGAAGUGGCUGCGCCAACCCGCAAGGGAGGCAGGUCCCCAAGGAGUGGCUGGUGACUGGGGUGAAGUCGUAACAAGGUAGCCGUAGGUGAACCUGCAGAAGGAUCA